RNAcentral lists this ribosomal RNA (487 nucleotides) under uncultured Promicromonospora sp. RNAcentral describes it as "bacterial SSU rRNA". It matches the Rfam family "Bacterial small subunit ribosomal RNA", at positions 9 to 507 of the family's 1533-position model. The record is from RNAcentral. Lineage: Bacteria; Bacillati; Actinomycetota; Actinomycetes; Micrococcales; Promicromonosporaceae.
GAGUUUGAUCCUGGCUCAGGACGAACGCUGGUGGCGUGCUUAACACAUGCAAGUCGAACGGUGAAGCCCAGCUUGCUGGGUGGAUCAGUGGCGAACGGGUGAGUAACACGUGAGCAACCUGCCCUCCACUUCGGGAUAAGCCUUGGAAACGAGGUCUAAUACCGGAUACGAGCACUUACCGCAUGGUGGGUGUUGGAAAGGUUUUUCGGUGGGGGGAUGGGCUCGCGGCCUAUCAGCUUGUUGGUGGGGUAAUGGCCUACCAAGGCGUCGACGGGUAGCCGGCCUGAGAGGGCGACCGGCCACACUGGGACUGAGACACGGCCCAGACUCCUACGGGAGGCAGCAGUGGGGGAAUAUUGCACAAUGGGCGAAAGCCUGAUGCAGCGACGCCACGUGAGGGAUGACGGCCUUCGGGUUGUAAACCUCUUUCAGCAGGGAAGAAGCGCAAGUGACGGUACCUGCAGAAGAAGCGCCGGCUAACUACGUG